CAGGGAGACAAUAAAUUGACUGUGAUGUUUAAGUUAUUUAUUCUUANGCCGCAAUCCUGACACCUUAAGGUUGAUCGGUACCUUAGAUUUUUGAAUUAGUUUUAUAAUUAAUUCUAUGAUUUCAGUUCCUAAACUUGUCUAGGUCGCACCCAACAAAGGUUACUCCUGGGCCAUUACAUCCGGUGGAUACAACGCAUUCCUGAAAGGGUGAGUUUCCUGGUUCAAGUUCUGAUGGUNNUUCGUUGUGAUGGGNAUAGCUCAGUUGGUAGAACGCCUGUUUUGCGAUAAGGAAGUAAUGGUGACUAAUCCGAUUACCUCCACUGAAAACUAUCCGGAUAACUAAAUUUAGGAGAAUAAUGAGUAAAAGAGGCUUAGAAUUGUCUGUCUGAAAAGAACCUAGNUUNUUGUUAUCUUCUUAUANCNAUAACAUGCUGGGNUCACAUGGAUUAAUUCCAUGAAAAUUCUGAAGAACCUUGAAAACUGCAUAGAUUAGAAAGAAUAAAGCAUCUCAUGGAUGCAUAAUUCUGGUUUUUUAAUUUAGCCUUAAAACUAAAUUAGUUAAUUCUAGAAUUCAUGUUUAAUUCUUGAGUAAAAGCCGAGCACAAUUGAUUUUGUGAUUUGUAUUUAA
RNAcentral lists this unclassified non-coding RNA (628 nucleotides) under uncultured Prochlorococcus sp. Its description in RNAcentral is "partial 16S-23S ribosomal RNA intergenic spacer". The record is from RNAcentral. Lineage: Bacteria; Bacillati; Cyanobacteriota; Cyanophyceae; Synechococcales; Prochlorococcaceae.